This 303-nucleotide unclassified non-coding RNA is filed under the name fungal sp. RNAcentral describes it as "partial internal transcribed spacer region". The stretch from base 1 to 46 matches the Rfam family "Eukaryotic small subunit ribosomal RNA", at positions 1786 to 1831 of the family's 1831-position model. Lineage: Eukaryota; Fungi. The record is from RNAcentral.
AAGUCGUAACAAGGUAACCGUAGGUGAACCUGCGGUUGGAUCAUUACUGUAUUUUUUUUUCCAGUAAUUUGUUUGCAAGCGCUUAGAUAGGUCAAUGCAAACAAGUGAAUAUGGAAGAAAUUCUACAAUCUGUGCACCUGUAAUUGUAAGUUGGCGAUUGUCCAGUGCUUUGUGCUGGACUUGCAUUAAGUUGCAAAGGUCGUCAAUAGUGUAAACAACAUAACUCUAUUUUUUUUUUAUUCUUUUAUUGACUUUUUAAAUUGAAACCAAGAACAACUAUUAACAAUGGAUCUCUUGGCUCUC